GUACGGGAGGCAGCAGAGGAGGAUCAUUCGCAAUGGGCGAAAGCCUGACGGUGCGACGCCGCGUGAGGGAUGAAGGCCUUCGGGUUGUAAACCUCUGUCAGGAGUUACGAAAAGCGAGGUUGCUAACAACAGCUUCGUCUGACUAAGGCUCCAAAGGAAGCGCCGGCUAACUACGUGCCAGCAGCCGCGGUAAUACGUAGGGCGCAAGCGUUACUCGGAAUCACUGGGCAUAAAGGGCGUGUAGGCGGACUCGUAAGUCGGAUGUAAAAUCCCUCGGCUCAACCGAGGAAGGCCAUCCGAUACUGCGUGUCUUGAGUGUGGAAGGGGAGAAUGGAACUCUUGGUGGAGCGGUGAAAUGCGUAGAUAUCAAGAGGAACGCCGGUGGCGAAAGCGGUUCUCUGGUCCAUUACUGACGCUGAGGCGCGAAAGCUAGGGGAGCAAACGGGAUUAGAUACCCCGGU
Molecule: ribosomal RNA, 461 nt
Filed under: uncultured bacterium
Lineage: Bacteria
Description: bacterial SSU rRNA
Rfam family: Bacterial small subunit ribosomal RNA
Source: RNAcentral